This 253-nucleotide ribosomal RNA is filed under the name uncultured bacterium. Its description in RNAcentral is "partial 16S ribosomal RNA". It matches the Rfam family "Bacterial small subunit ribosomal RNA", at positions 524 to 776 of the family's 1533-position model. The record is from RNAcentral.
CACGUAGGGCGCAAGCGUUGUCUGGAAUUAUUGGGCGUAAAGAGCUCGUAGGUGGUUUGUUACGUCUGCUGUGAAAACCUAGGGCUUAACCCUGGGCUUGCAGUGGAUACGGGCAGACUAGAGGUAGGUAGGGGAGAAUGGAAUUCCUGGUGUAGCGGUGAAAUGCGCAGAUAUCAGGAGGAACACCGGUGGCGAAGGCGGUUCUCUGGGCCUUACCUGACACUGAGGAGCGAAAGCGUGGGGAGCGAACAGG